This 2031-nucleotide long non-coding RNA is filed under the name Macaca fascicularis (crab-eating macaque). Its description in RNAcentral is "lncRNA (ENSMFAG00000065226.1)". Lineage: Eukaryota; Metazoa; Chordata; Mammalia; Primates; Cercopithecidae. The record is from RNAcentral.
UUUUUAUUGAACACAAGUAUUCUGACAGAAUGCAAAGUCAAAAUUCUCAGUUAGUACUCAGUAUUUACACCAGUGAGAAUGGAAACAAAGGUGGUAUCGAUGUUUCACUUGGUAAAAAGUUUUAUAACAAGAGAGAAGGCCCCCGAAGUACAGAAUGCUGGGUAGGGAUGUUAAUGGAGGUCUGAAAACCGCCGUCCAGACAGACGCCUCGAGUGAAAACCUGGGACUCGGAAGGCUCCAUAGAAAAGUGUGAAAAUAGAGUUCCACCUCCAAAGCUGCACUAUGUACACCACAGCCCUGCAGGGUCCAGUGGCCCUGCUCAUCACACUUGAGUGCUCCUCCAGCAGAACUUGGCCAUGCCGGUCUUCAUGUGAAUACAUAUGUAUGGCACAUACACACAUAGACACAUAGACAUUGGAAACUGGUGGAGUUGAUCCCUCCUUCAAAAAUUAAAAAAAAAGAAAAUUAUAAGCUUUGAUCUCUUAACAUAAAAGAUAAAACAUCUUGGAAUAAAAUGACUCCCUCUUUGAUUUUAGAGAAAGCAUUGCUUAUUUACUUUUUUUUAAAAAAGGAAAACUCUUGCAUGCUAAGACAAACCUACAUGUAAUGGGAGAGAACAGACCAAAAUGUGGGCAGAGUCUUAGGUCCUAGCUAAUGGCAGAGCCAGGGUUCUAGGGGGUCAGCUGCCCCGGGCCAGGUGAUCUGAGAGCUGACCUGUUUCUUUCUAACCAUCAGAACCAAAAUCAGUUGACCUAACCAUAACCACUUUGACAGUCUUGACAAGGCAUGGCAUGGGCUUGGCCUGGUGUGGCAAAGCCAUCGACACUACAAGAUGAGGAACUGAGUCCGCUGAACAGCCUGGUGACUGGAAGAGCCUGCCCCUCACUGCUGGGCCCUCCCGGUCUCAGACACCCAGGCUCUCAUAUUCUACUGUGUGUUCCAAGAUCUCUCUCCAUGUUCCUCUAUCCUGAGGGCCUGUGCAUUUGAACCAGAGAUCUGUGCUGGCCCUAGAAUCAAAGGGGCCAGGGCUCUGUGUUCUGGGAUCCUCCAUUUCCAUCCCCAGGAGCUGAGAAAAUGCAACGUAACCCCACAGUGAGCAAAUGACAAGACCAUUAUUCUUCACAGUUUGAAAGUAUAAUCUAGCAUCGCCACUGAUCGGACUGCAGAAGUGUCAGAACAUUGGGGAGACUGGCCCACAGAAUCGACCCAGAGGCAGCCUUGCCACCCUAACCUCUUGCUGCUUUGUACCUUAGGAGAGGAGCGCAUGCGGAGUACUGAUUUCUGUUUACUUAGCGUCAUCUUCAUCAUCAUCAUCAUUUGUAUUUCAUUUUCUUUGUUUAAAGGCUUCGAUUCCUUUUAAGAGUGAUUUUUGUUUCCUGAAUAUUUUUUUCUGAACUAUCUGCUAUACCUUCCACAACCAAACUAUGUUGAAGUUUUAUUUCAAUACUAUGACAAAAACACGUUUCACACUAAAAUAUUCACGCAUCCACAGUGCACAAGCUUGCAGUUCUAAAGUAGAAUGAGGAAAAAAAAAAAGCAAAAUUUCUAUACAAAGGGCUGGCUUUUCCCUUCUCCCCGCCCUCCCAUCCCCCUUAAAGUUUCUGUAUUUUUCCCCCACUUGGUUUCCAAUCCAGGAAAGUUGUGUUAUGACUCCAGACAGUAGGUUGUUUCUUUUCUCUUUUGUUUCUAUAAAUGCUGCCUAAGUGAACAGAAGGCCGAUGUUACUUUACUUCAACAGAUUUCCAAAAAAAGACACUAAUUCCCUGAAGCACACAUGCUCUUCCGCUCAAAUCUAGAUUCUGGGCUCAAAAGGAAAUGGUAUGUAUAUAUUUUAUUUGGCUUUCUACACAAAGGGGAUGUGUGGGGUAAUAAUGUGUGUUCACCAAGACCAGCCCCAACUAUACAAUCUUCUCUGCUUCAUUCAACAAAGCCUAAGGAGUCCUUCAAAAGAAGGGUGAGAACGCCUGGGAGCAGAUCCCUUUUCACAGAUGCAGGCAGGUGGCGGCUAAUCAGAAAGUGGUCUAACCCCCA